RNAcentral lists this unclassified non-coding RNA (310 nucleotides) under Hevea brasiliensis (rubber tree). Lineage: Eukaryota; Viridiplantae; Streptophyta; Magnoliopsida; Malpighiales; Euphorbiaceae. The record is from RNAcentral.
UUUUAGCCCCUCCCCCCAACACUCUCUCUCCCCCCUCCACCUUUAUUCCUUCCUCACACCGUCUCUCCAACCCUUAAAUGGGCUGAGCUCGAACUCGAUUUUUAGGCUCGUUUAUAAACUAGUUGAGCUUGAGUUUUGUAGUAUGCGGUUUGUUAAGGCUCGUGAGCAAAUUCGUUUAAUAGGCUCAUGAAUAAGUUCGUUCGUAAAAAUAUUUAUAUCAGUUAUUGCAUUUUAUUAUAUUAUAGAUAUUUAUUAUUUUAUUUAUAAAUGUUCUAAAAAUAAUAUAUUGUUUAAGAUUAUGAUAUGCUCG